Molecule: ribosomal RNA, 832 nt
Filed under: uncultured Bacteroidota bacterium
Lineage: Bacteria; Pseudomonadati; Bacteroidota
Description: bacterial SSU rRNA
Rfam family: Bacterial small subunit ribosomal RNA
Source: RNAcentral
UCGACGAGUGGCGCCCUUGUGCGUAACGCGUAUACAAUCUACCUUUUGCUGAGGGAUAGCCCAGAGAAAUUUGGAUUAAUACCUCAUGGUAUUAUUGAUAGGCAUCUAUUAAUAAUUAAAGGUUACGGCAAAAGAUGAGUAUGCGUCCCAUUAGCUAGUUGGUGAAGUAACGGUUCACCAAGGCAGCGAUGGGUAGGGGUCCUGAGAGGGAGAUCCCCCACACUGGUACUGAGACACGGACCAGACUCCUACGGGAGGCAGCAGUGAGGAAUAUUGGACAAUGGGCGAGAGCCUGAUCCAGCCAUGCCGCGUGCAGGAAGACUGCCCUAUGGGUUGUAAACUGCUUUUAUACAGGAAGAAUAAGCCUUACGUGUAAGGUGAUGACGGUACUGUAAGAAUAAGGACCGGCUAACUCCGUGCCAGCAGCCGCGGUAAUACGGAGGGUCCGAGCGUUAUCCGGAAUUAUUGGGUUUAAAGGGUCCGUAGGCGGAUGAUUAAGUCAGGGGUGAAAGUUUGCAGCUCAACUGUAAAAUUGCCUUUGAUACUGGUCAUCUUGAGUUGUAUUGAAGUAGGCGGAAUAUGUAGUGUAGCGGUGAAAUGCAUAGAUAUUACAUAGAACACCCAUUGCGAAGGCAGCUUACUAAGUACUAACUGACGCUGAUGGACGAAAGCGUGGGUAGCGAACAGGAUUAGAUACCCUGGUAGGCCACGCCGUUAACGAUGGAUACUACCUGUUCGGGACCUUGAGUUCUGAGCGGCUAAACGAAAGUGAUAAAUAUCCCACCCUGGGAGUACCUUUCGCCAGAAUGAAACUCCAAAAGAAUUGACCGGG